GACGAACGCUGGCGGCAUGCCUAAUACAUGCAAGUCGAGCGAAUGAUGAAGAAGCUUGCUUCUUCUGAUUUAGCGGCGGACGGGUGAGUAACACGUGGGCAGCCUGCCCUGUAGAUUGGGAUAACUCCGGGAAACCGGGGCUAAUACUGAAUAAUCCAUUUCCUCUCAUGGGGAAAUGUUAAAAGACGGUUUCGGCUGUCACUACAGGAUGGGCCCGCGGCGCAUUAGCUAGUUGGUGAGGUAACGGCUCACCAAGGCGACGAUGCGUAGCCGACCUGAGAGGGUGAUCGGCCACACUGGGACUGAGACACGGCCCAGACUCCUACGGGAGGCAGCAGUAGGAAUCUUCCACAAUGG
Molecule: ribosomal RNA, 357 nt
Filed under: uncultured bacterium
Lineage: Bacteria
Description: bacterial SSU rRNA
Rfam family: Bacterial small subunit ribosomal RNA
Source: RNAcentral